GGUCAAGGAUGGACUCGCGGCCUAUCAGCUUGUUGGUGAGGUAAUGGCUCACCAAGGCGACGACGGGUAGCCGGCCUGAGAGGGUGACCGGCCACACUGGGACUGAGACACGGCCCAGACUCCUACGGGAGGCAGCAGUGGGGAAUAUUGCACAAUGGGCGCAAGCCUGAUGCAGCAACGCCGCGUGAGGGAUGACGGCCUUCGGGUUGUAAACCUCUUUUAGUAGGGAAGAAGCGAAAGUGACGGUACCUGCAGAAAAAGCACCGGCUAACUACGUGCCAGCAGCCGCGGUAAUACGUAGGGUGCAAGCGUUGUCCGGAAUUAUUGGGCGUAAAGAGCUCGUAGGCGGUUUGUCGCGUCUGCUGUGAAAACUGGAGGCUCAACCUCCAGCCUGCAGUGGGUACGGGCAGACUAGAGUGCGGUAGGGGAGAUUGGAAUUCCUGGUGUAGCGGUGGAAUGCGCAGAUAUCAGGAGGAACACCGAUGGCGAAGGCAGAUCUCUGGGCCGUAACUGACGCUGAGGAGCGAAAGCAUGGGGAGCGAACAGGAUUAGAUACCCUGGUAGUCCAUGCCGUAAACGUUGGGAACUAGAUGUGGGGACCAUUCCACGGUCUCCGUGUCGCAGC
Molecule: ribosomal RNA, 625 nt
Filed under: Herbiconiux ginsengi
Lineage: Bacteria; Bacillati; Actinomycetota; Actinomycetes; Micrococcales; Microbacteriaceae
Description: bacterial SSU rRNA
Rfam family: Bacterial small subunit ribosomal RNA
Source: RNAcentral